AACGAACGCUGGCGGCGCGCUUAAUACAUGCAAGUCGAACGAGAAGGUGUAGCAAUACACUUGUAAAGUGGCGAACGGGUGAGGAAUACAUGGGUAACCUACCCUCGAGUGGGGAACAACCAGCCGAAAGGUUGGCUAAUACCGCGUACGCUUCCGGGUCUUCGGAUUCGGAGGGAAAGUCAUACCGUGGGUAUGACGCUCAAGGAUGGGCUCAUGUCCUAUCAGCUUGUUGGUAGGGUAACGGCCACCAAGGCUCCGACGGGUAGCUGGUCUGAGAGGACGAUCAGCCACACUGGCACUGCGACACGGGCCAGACUCCUACGGGAGGCAGCAGUAAGGAAUAUUGCGCAAUGGGCGAAAGCCUGACGCAGCGACGCCGCGUGGGGAUGAAGGUCUUCGGAUUGUAAACCCC
RNAcentral lists this ribosomal RNA (412 nucleotides) under uncultured bacterium. RNAcentral describes it as "bacterial SSU rRNA". It matches the Rfam family "Bacterial small subunit ribosomal RNA", at positions 29 to 433 of the family's 1533-position model. The record is from RNAcentral.